ACUCAGAUAGUUUAUAAAAAAUAUCAAUUUGUGGGAUUGAGGAUAUACUUAGUAUUUUGGGUA
RNAcentral lists this transfer RNA (63 nucleotides) under Dryocoetes villosus. Its description in RNAcentral is "tRNA-His". Lineage: Eukaryota; Metazoa; Arthropoda; Insecta; Coleoptera; Curculionidae. The record is from RNAcentral.